AGCGUACACGGUGGAUGCCCUGGCAGUCAGAGGCGAUGAAGGACGUGCUAAUCUGCGAUAAGCGUCGGUAAGGUGAUAUGAACCGUUAUAACCGGCGAUUUCCGAAUGGGGAAACCCAGUGUGUUUCGACACACUAUCAUUAACUGAAUCCAUAGGUUAAUGAGGCGAACCGGGGGAACUGAAACAUCUAAGUACCCCGAGGAAAAGAAAUCAACCGAGAUUCCCCAGUAGCGGCGAGCGAACGGGGAGCAGCCCAGAGCCUGAAUCAGUAUGUGUGUUAGUGGAAGCGUCUGGAAAGGCGCGCGAUACAGGGUGACAGCCCCGUACACAAAAAUGCACAUGCUGUGAGCUCGAUGAGUAGGGCGGGACACGUGGUAUCCUGUCUGAAUAUGGGGGGACCAUCCUCCAAGGCUAAAUACUCCUGACUGACCGAUAGUGAACCAGUACCGUGAGGGAAAGGCGAAAAGAACCCCGGCGAGGGGAGUGAAAAAGAACCUGAAACCGUGUACGUACAAGCAGUGGGAGCACAGAGCAAUCUGUGUGACUGCGUACCUUUUGUAUAAUGGGUCAGCGACUUAUAUUCUGUAGCAAGGUUAACCGAAUAGGGGAGCCGAAGGGAAACCGAGUCUUAACUGGGCGUUAAGUUGCAGGGUAUAGACCCGAAACCCGGUGAUCUAGCCAUGGGCAGGUUGAAGGUUGGGUAACACUAACUGGAGGACCGAACCGACUAAUGUUGAAAAAUUAGCGGAUGACUUGUGGCUGGGGGUGAAAGGCCAAUCAAACCGGGAGAUAGCUGGUUCUCCCCGAAAGCUAUUUAGGUAGCGCCUCGUGAAUUCAUCUCCGGGGGUAGAGCACUGUUUCGGCAAGGGGGUCAUCCCGACUUACCAACCCGAUGCAAACUGCGAAUACCGGAGAAUGUUAUCACGGGAGACACACGGCGGGUGCUAACGUCCGCCGUGAAGAGGGAAACAACCCAGACCGCCAGCUAAGGUCCCAAAGUCAUGGUUAAGUGGGAAACGAUGUGGGAAGGCCCAGACAGCCAGGAUGUUGGCUUAGAAGCAGCCAUCAUUUAAAGAAAGCGUAAUAGCUCACUGGUCGAGUCGGCCUGCGCGGAAGAUGUAACGGGGCUAAACCAUGCACCGAAGCUGCGGCAGCGACGCUUAUGCGUUGUUGGGUAGGGGAGCGUUCUGUAAGCCUGUGAAGGUGUGCUGUGAGGCAUGCUGGAGGUAUCAGAAGUGCGAAUGCUGACAUAAGUAACGAGUAAAGCGGGUGAAAAGCCCGCUCGCCGGAAGACCAAGGGUUCCUGUCCAACGUUAAUCGGGGCAGGGUGAGUCGACCCCUAAGGCGAGGCCGAAAGGCGUAGUCGAUGGGAAACAGGUUAAUAUUCCUGUACUUGGUGUUACUGCGAAGGGGGGACGGAGAAGGGCUAUGUUGGCCGGGCGACGGUUGUCCCGGUUUAAGCGUGUAGGCUGGUUUUCCAGGCAAAUCCGGAAAAUCAAGGCUGAGGCGUGAUGACGAGGCACUACGGUGCUGAAGCAACAAAUGCCCUGCUUCCAGGAAAAGCCUCUAAGCAUCAGGUAACAUCAAAUCGUACCCCAAACCGACACAGGUGGUCAGGUAGAGAAUACCAAGGCGCUUGAGAGAACUCGGGUGAAGGAACUAGGCAAAAUGGUGCCGUAACUUCGGGAGAAGGCACGCUGAUAUGUAGGUGAAGUCCCUCGCGGAUGGAGCUGAAAUCAGUCGAAGAUACCAGCUGGCUGCAACUGUUUAUUAAAAACACAGCACUGUGCAAACACGAAAGUGGACGUAUACGGUGUGACGCCUGCCCGGUGCCGGAAGGUUAAUUGAUGGGGUUAGCGCAAGCGAAGCUCUUGAUCGAAGCCCCGGUAAACGGCGGCCGUAACUAUAACGGUCCUAAGGUAGCGAAAUUCCUUGUCGGGUAAGUUCCGACCUGCACGAAUGGCGUAAUGAUGGCCAGGCUGUCUCCACCCGAGACUCAGUGAAAUUGAACUCGCUGUGAAGAUGCAGUGUACCCGCGGCAAGACGGAAAGACCCCGUGAACCUUUACUAUAGCUUGACACUGAACAUUGAGCCUUGAUGUGUAGGAUAGGUGGGAGGCUUUGAAGUGUGGACGCCAGUCUGCAUGGAGCCGACCUUGAAAUACCACCCUUUAAUGUUUGAUGUUCUAACGUUGACCCGUAAUCCGGGUUGCGGACAGUGUCUGGUGGGUAGUUUGACUGGGGCGGUCUCCUCCUAAAGAGUAACGGAGGAGCACGAAGGUUGGCUAAUCCUGGUCGGACAUCAGGAGGUUAGUGCAAUGGCAUAAGCCAGCUUGACUGCGAGCGUGACGGCGCGAGCAGGUGCGAAAGCAGGUCAUAGUGAUCCGGUGGUUCUGAAUGGAAGGGCCAUCGCUCAACGGAUAAAAGGUACUCCGGGGAUAACAGGCUGAUACCGCCCAAGAGUUCAUAUCGACGGCGGUGUUUGGCACCUCGAUGUCGGCUCAUCACAUCCUGGGGCUGAAGUAGGUCCCAAGGGUAUGGCUGUUCGCCAUUUAAAGUGGUACGCGAGCUGGGUUUAGAACGUCGUGAGACAGUUCGGUCCCUAUCUGCCGUGGGCGCUGGAGAACUGAGGGGGGCUGCUCCUAGUACGAGAGGACCGGAGUGGACGCAUCACUGGUGUUCGGGUUGUCAUGCCAAUGGCACUGCCCGGUAGCUAAAUGCGGAAGAGAUAAGUGCUGAAAGCAUCUAAGCACGAAACUUGCCCCGAGAUGAGUUCUCCCUGACUCCUUGA
This 2790-nucleotide ribosomal RNA is filed under the name Escherichia coli DEC9E. RNAcentral describes it as "bacterial LSU rRNA". It matches the Rfam family "Bacterial large subunit ribosomal RNA". The record is from RNAcentral. Lineage: Bacteria; Pseudomonadati; Pseudomonadota; Gammaproteobacteria; Enterobacterales; Enterobacteriaceae.